UUUUACUUAAUAGUUUUGCAUUUGAAGACAUUGUGUAUCUAUAUGCUGGCUCUCAUCAAGCAAUUGAACAGUACUAUUUCACACCUGAAAAUUUGUUAAUUCCAAUUCGCAACAUCACCACAACAACUACUGAACAAGUGAAUAAGAUUGAGUUUUCUCCAGAUGGGGAAUAUUUAUAUGCUCUCUCAGCAACACAAGUUGUUAAAGUAAAAGCUACAUUCGAUUGCUCAAUUAUAACAAAUUGCUCUGAAUGUGUUGUCCGUUUUCGCUGUGGUUGGUGUGCCAGUUAGACUUUAAAUGCACUAGGCUUAACUCAGGAUGUACUACUGGUGAAUGGCUCAAUAUUACAAAUCAAGCUACAGUUGCUACAGAUGUAUGUCCUUAUUUACAACCUAAUUCUGAUGCAUCUGGUGGAAAAUAUACUCAACCAGUUACUGUUGCUAAAAAUUUGACCAUAUCUACAAUCAAUACCCCAUUUCUACCUGGCCUCAGCUAUGAGUGUGUAUAUGGUACUGAUACUAGAGCUGCUACUGUUAGCAGUGUCGACAAUAGAGUGACAUGUAUUAAUAAU
Molecule: long non-coding RNA, 571 nt
Organism: Amphimedon queenslandica
Lineage: Eukaryota; Metazoa; Porifera; Demospongiae; Haplosclerida; Niphatidae
Exons: 5
Source: RefSeq, a predicted model, not a curated record